RNAcentral lists this ribosomal RNA (228 nucleotides) under uncultured bacterium. RNAcentral's name for it is "partial 16S ribosomal RNA". It matches the Rfam family "Bacterial small subunit ribosomal RNA", at positions 524 to 751 of the family's 1533-position model. The record is from RNAcentral.
UACGUAGGGUGCGAGCGUUAAUCGGAAUUACUGGGCGUAAAGCGUGCGCAGGCGGUUUUUUAAGACAGGCGUGAAAUCCCUGGGCUCAACCCAGGAACUGCACCUGAAACUACCAGUCUUGAGUGGUGGAGAGGGAAGUGGAAUUCCUGGUGUAGAGGUGAAAUUCGUAGAUAUCAGGAGGAACACCAGUGGCGAAGGCGGCUUCCUGGACACUAACUGACGCUGAGA